Molecule: transfer RNA, 60 nt
Filed under: Neodiprion sertifer (European pine sawfly)
Lineage: Eukaryota; Metazoa; Arthropoda; Insecta; Hymenoptera; Diprionidae
Description: tRNA-Ser
Source: RNAcentral
GAAAUAUACAACAAAAGCUUCUAACUUUUUAUAAAAUGACUAAAAUUCAUUUAUAUUUCU